ACGGCAGAAGACCUCUUCUAAUGACCAGUCCUUAAAGAUUAAUGGGACUAGCUGAUUUUCUGAAUUCGCUAAGGAAAAACACUACUCAAGCUAUGACAGACACUAUGGAAAUGUUUUAAUUAUCUGUUGUCUUUAAUUGUUGGUAUAGUUGUUCUUACAUGACACUUUGUUCGUCGUCAUCUUCACAGGUCACCUUGGAGUAUGCCUUGCAGCAAAAGAAUCAGGAAGGCAGAGCGUUAUUGGCGCGUGUCCUGUUCUGAUCUUACUGAGAAGGAAAAAGCAUGUUUUGGAAUCAUAUGCCAGUGCUCUGGCAGAAAUACAGAUGUGGUGAUUUAUUCCAUCGACCAAGUCCUGAUGUGAAGAAUUCUCUCUAAUGGCAAAUGAGAUAUUGAAUCUAUUUAAUUUCAACUCACAGAGCUAGGUAUUCCUGAAAUGAGACUUCCUAGCUGUUCAUCAGCCUUUAUCUGCAAAACUGUUUUAAAAUUCCAAAAAUCAUAAAGUACCUGGUCUGGGGACUUUGGUACAGACUCGGCCAUUUCCAAAAAACCCUGCUGGACAUCGGCCACAGAAGUAUCCAAGGAGAAUUCUUUGCCUCUAAGGGUUGCACAGGCCAUUCGACCUCAGUUGUGUUCAAAUCACCUUUGCCAUUGUUAUUGUCAAUGAUGGACUCUUCUGUAAUGUCAGCAGCAAGCACAGCUGUAAGAAGACAGUACGGAGACAAGGAAACAAGGUAUUAAGAGCUUAGCUGUGAUUGAUGAUAAAAAGCAAUGGUAACAGCAAAUCAGAUAACCUGACAUAAGUUUAUUCCAGAAGCCAGCCAUCAAACAAACACAGGCAAAUCAGAUGAGUCAGCUGCUGAAAUGCAGGAAAGCUUUGACACAAAUACAGACAAAAUUGUUUUGCCCAAAUUCACUAAGCUUAAGUCAUCCAAGAGACAUACUUAAUAUGCAUGGUGAUCUUUUAUUGAGCUAAGGGUGGGCAGUGUGGUUACUUGCACAAAGAUGCUACACUGCACACUGGGACCUGUGGUCUGUAUGAUUCCUACUUCACUUUGAAAGCUUCCCUCUGAAAACUACAUUGUACUUGUUUGUUGGCUUUGGUUAGCUCAGCUGUCAACUUUGUACACUCCAAAAUACAUGUACUAAAUAUAUGUGGAAGUAAAGGGGAAAAUUGUUUGUUGAUGUUAAAAAAUAUUAAUUCCUGCCUAAAUUUAAGACAAUUUCUCAAGAGAUUUAGGGAUUGUAAACUCUACAUGGAUAUAUGUUG
Dromaius novaehollandiae (emu) is the source of this 1266-nucleotide long non-coding RNA. RefSeq lists it as uncharacterized. Lineage: Eukaryota; Metazoa; Chordata; Aves; Casuariiformes; Dromaiidae. The record is from RefSeq and is a predicted model, not a curated record. The transcript has 3 exons.